RNAcentral lists this ribosomal RNA (468 nucleotides) under uncultured bacterium. RNAcentral describes it as "partial 16S ribosomal RNA". It matches the Rfam family "Bacterial small subunit ribosomal RNA", at positions 28 to 507 of the family's 1533-position model. The record is from RNAcentral.
GACGAACGCUGGCGGCGUGCUUAACACAUGCGAGUCGAACGGAAAGGCCCUGCUUUUGUGGGGUGCUCGAGUGGCGAACGGGUGAGUAACACGUGAGUAACCUGCCCUUGACUUUGGGAUAACUUCAGGAAACUGGGGCUAAUACCGGAUAGGAGCUCCUGCUGCAUGGUGGGGGUUGGAAAGUUUCGGCGGUUGGGGAUGGACUCGCGGCUUAUCAGCUUGUUGGUGGGGUAGUGUCUUACCAAGGCUUUGACGGGUAGCCGGCCUGAGAGGGUGACCGGCCACAUUGGGACUGAGAUACGGCCCAGACUCCUACGGGAGGCAGCAGUGGGGAAUAUUGCACAAUGGGCGGAAGCCUGAUGCAGCAACGCCGCGUGCGGGAUGACGGCCUUCGGGUUGUAAACCGCUUUCGCCUGUGACGAAGCGUGAGUGACGGUAAUGGGUAAAGAAGCACCGGCUAACUACGUG